GACACAGUGGUGAUAUAGCUGCCAGCUGGCUCAUUCUCCUGGAUAUGAGCAAAGUACUGAACUGGAUAAAACACAGGACUGUUAUCAUUCACAUCCAAGAGACUCACAUUGACCCGGGUCAGAGAAGUCUGGGGAGGAGAGCCGAGAUCUACAGCCAGGACCAAAAGGGAAUAGAAAGCCUGCUCUUCUCUGUCCAAAGAGGAGAUGGUGCUCAGCCUUCCAGACACGGGAUCCAGGCGGAAGGACCUCUGUUCAGUGUCAGCCUCCUGGAAGGAGAAUCGAACAGUUCCAUUGUCGCCUAGGUCCCCAUCUGAUGCCUCUAUGACCAACAAAUCUGUCCCUGCAGGGGCAUUCUCAGCCACAGACACUUCAUAGCCUGCUUCCUGGCUGAAUACUGGCUUUUCAUCAUUCACAUCCAGGACAGUAACUAUCAGCUGUGCAUAGGAUACUUUGGGGUGGACACCCUGAUCCCUGGCACUAAUGUUCAAGACCACCUGGGAGGCUCGUUCUCUGUCCAGGCCACCAGCAGCCGCAGUUGUCACCAGACCACUGUGGUCACUGAUGUGAAACCAGUCCAGCUCAUUGCCAGAGAUGAUGCUAUAGCGAAGGUUUGCAUUGAGCCCUGAGUCACCAUCUGUGGCAGAAACCCCGCUCACAUAACUGCCAGGGGGAGCUUCUUCACUUAGGUUCACCCGAUAGACCAACUGGGAGAAGACAGGAGGAUGGUCAUUGAUAUCAUUAACAAAGAUCACAAGGCUGGCGACGGAGGAACGAGCCACUGCCCCGGGGGGCGCCCCAUGAUUGUCUGACACGGAGACCGUCAGGUUGUAGGAAGGGAUGCGUUCCCGGUCCAAGGCACUGGCCACCUUGAUGAGGCUCAGAUUGGGCACCUUGCUUCGCUGCACCUCAAAGUGGCGUUGCUCGUUGCCGCCCAGGAUCUGCACCGAAAUGUUGCCAUUGGCCGCAGGGGAAUCAGCGUCCGUGACCGUCAGCAGGGCCACGACUGUGCCUACCUGCGCAUUCUCGUCCACUGAGGCAAAGCGCGACGUGGCGGGGAAAUAGCGGAACUUGACCACUGGAUCGUUGUCGUUCACGUCCAGUAGCUGGAUGAGCGCCUCCGCUCGACCAGUAAGCGACGGCACGCCCCGGUCGUGUGCCUGCAGAGUGAGCGAGUACUGGCGCCUGGCCUCGUAAUCCAGGGGCUCCCGCACGGUGAUGAGCCCUGUCUCGGGAUCCAUGUGGAAGGGACCUCCGUCCUCCUGCAGCUGGUAGCGGAUAUCUGCGUUGGUGCCUUCGUCGGCAUCAGCCGCAGAGACUUGCAGCACACUGGAGCCCACGGCCGCAUCCUCAGGAAGUAACCAAAACCUGGAAACAAAAUGGAGGCUCAUCAAUGGGAUUCCAUAUGUCUCAUUUUACAAAUUAGGAAAAUGAGGCCCAUAAAGGAACAAGACUUUAUCUCUUGGUUCCUGACAUUUUCUCUGGCUGUUCCCCAAGUCUGGAAUGAGCUCCCUUCUCAUCUCUACUUCCUGCCUUCCUUGACUUCCUUAGACUCCAGAAUAUUAUUCUUGAGCAUUCGCAUUCCUGCUAGAGUGACUUCUCUUCCAGCAUACUAGAUCACAAAAGGUUACCUAUUCUCUGAACCUUUGAAGUCUGGUUUCCUGAAAUCUUUGGAGGAGCAUAUCAAAUUGUACUUGCAGGGGAUGUUCACUUUGCCCUAUUAUUUUUAGCCCAGAAACCAAUUUUUACCUCUCAAUGAGAAUCAGAUCCAGGAUAGUUUCCUUUUAUUGGUUCUUUUAACUUUUGAAAGAUAAAGUGAUCAUUAAGGCCAGUUAAGAAUACAGAUUUUUUUUUUUUUUUUAAGAAUACAGAUUCUUACUUUUGAGAGAGUCUAGCAGAUGUUCAACUUUCUCUUAUCUCCUCACCCUGGCCAUCUUCCUUCCUGGAAAGCUGGACUCUAAACUUGGCUCCCAUGGUUUUGAUAGAUAAGCUUUUUACCUUGUUACUGGUGCUCAUAUCUCCAUGUAACAUCAGGUACUACAGAACUUCUUUGUCAUCUCCCAGAUCCCAAAACAGUAGUAAUGGAAAGGGCAUUGAGCUGCCAGUGUGCUCAGCAGGAGGAGAAGUGACAGGAGUAGAACAGCAACUGUGGUGAGAAUAGCAGUGGCAGGACUCAGGUCCCCGUAGCAGAAGGGGACCCCAGACUCCUGACAUCUCUGAGCACCACAUGGCAACCAGAGCCUUGGGUAUGGGACUAUAGCUUCUACCUCCACAUCCAGUGCUGUUCCCUCCAAGAAAACAUGGACAGUUGGAAAGAGUAUAAAAGUCAUGGUUCCUCUCAGAAAUGAGUUUGGUCAAAAACAGAGCCCAGAUGGGUUGAUCUGGAUUGGCUUAGGAUGGAGAGGGAGAGUUAGACUAAAGACUAAAGAUGUACUCAUGGGAAAAAAUCAUUUAUUUAUAAUCUAUUGCUUUCACCACUUGUCAUACCUUCUAGAACCAAUUAAUGAGGCUCCACUAUAUUUACCACCAUGCUUCCCCAAUCAGGGUCCUGUAUUUCAUCCCAUUCAUAUAUUAUCUUAACAUACAAUACUACUCAAGUCUACAUCUAACCUAUUCUAUUGUUUUUAUUGUUGCUGUUGUUGUUUUUACACAUAAAUAUGAUAUUUGAAUAUGAUACUCAUAGAAAAGUCAGAGUCUAGUUAUCAUAUUAUAUAGUAAUACCUCUGCAAUCAAAUUUGCUUUUUGCGUUAUGAUUUCUAAUUCUUCAUUUAGUGCUGAAACUUCAAGGAUUUUUAUACAAACCAAUGGUCUGUGUUGCUGAUUUCUAUCUAAGAUUUUGUCUCUUCCGGGCAUUUUAACUGAUUCUUCCCUCAUUGUAGUGAUUCUCUGUGAUAUCUAAUUUGGUGUAUGUAUAUGGGCCAUCUUCUUUCUCCCCCAUCCUUUAUAUAAAAAUGACCUGCAUUUCUGAGUGCAAGUCAGUCCAGCAGAGAUGGGAAUGCUCAAGUAUAAUAUUCUGAAAAAAAGAAAGGAAAACAAUUUCAGUGAGGCAGUUAUAAAGUCCAAGCCUUUAUAACCAUUUCUUUAAAAAAAAUUAAGGUUCUUUCAUGUAGUUAUCAUUUGACUGUUUAUAGCUGUUUAUAAUUCACUGUUAAUUUGGCAGGAUGUCUCAGAUUUGAGUGUCUGUGUUUUAUUCUAACAUUUUUGGUGAGAGCUUUAGGUAAAGAGAUGGCUAAUUAAUUGUUAUGCUAUUUUCUAUGUUUAUCAUUUUUUUUGCUAGAUAAAUUCUUUUUGAAAUGUACUCCCUUAUGUUCCCAGAGAACAUUAUCAUGAAAUUCAGCAUUUGCCCAGAUUGAACUAACCUUGGUGAUCAUAUCAUAUAUAUAUAUAUAUAUAUAUAUAUAUAUAUAUAUAUAUAUGCUUAUAUAUUAUAAUAUAUAUAAUUGAUUAGAGUAGAUCACUACUGAGAUUCCUUCCAACUCUCAAAUUCAGGAAUUAUUCAGUUAUUCCUCAUGUUUUUUCUUUACUGGUUAUCUUCAGAUGUUAUUAGCUUCUUUUAUGAAUUUAUUUUAAUUAACUAAAAUCAUACACAGCACAGUAUAAAUUGUGAUUUAUGUGCCAGCAUGCUGACACAGGGUUUACAAGCAUCUUUCCUUAAAAUUCUACUUUCUCAUAUCUCGCAUCUUUGUUCUUUGUCUUAUAUUAUGUCAGUAUCUCUAAGAUCUCCCCAUGGAGUCAUCCAACUUUUGUCUACUUUCCUUUAUACUCACAUUUGAUGCAAAGAUGACUUUCCUUGUGAGAUUGUAGUCAUAAUUUCGCUGAAUUCCUUAUCAUUUAUAUCAUCUGAAUUUGCAAGGCAUUGCAUGAUUCUUGGUUGUGGUUCUAUACUUACUGUAACAGACUGUAAGAUCCUUGAGAAUAGAGAUUCCUUUUUAUUUACCCUAAUAUUUCCCACAGUACUUUGUAUUGUGCUGCACACAUCAUUAUGUUAUAGAAGUUGAAGUGGAGGCUGUCUAGUUUGACCAAUGUUUGACAAUGAGUAUGUUUUAAAAACCUUCCUUCUAAAUGGAAUCUAACAUCCCUUAAAGAUUUUCAGUGACUGUGGAAUCAAUGAGUCUCCAUCCAUUAAUAUAUCUUGUUAAUAGAUAAACAGUUUUAUGUUCCUGAUACAUUGUUGGUGGAAUUGUGAAUACAUCCAGCCAUUCUGGAGAGCAAUUUGGAACUAUGCCCAAAAAGUUAUCAAACUGUGCAUACCUUUUGAUCCAGCAGAUCAAAGAGAUCUUAAAGAAGGGAAAGGGACCUCUAUGUGCAAGAAUGUUUGUGGCAGCCCUCUUUGUAGUAGUCAGAUACUGGAAACUAAGUAGAUGCCCAUCAAUUGGAGAAGGCUGAAUAAACUGUGGUAUAUGAAUGUUAUAGAAUAUUAUUGUUCUGUAAGAAGUGACCAGCAGGAUGAUUUCAGAAAGGCCUGGAGAGACCUACAUGAACUGAUGCUGAGUGAAAUGAGCAGGACCAGGAGAUCAUUAUAUAUUUCAAGAACAAUAUUUUAUGAUGAUCAAUUCUGAUGGACGUGGCCCUCUUCAACAAUGAGAUGCACCAAAUCAGUUCCAAUAGAGCAGUAAUGAAUUGAGGCAGCCAGUGAAAGAACCCUGGGAAAUGAGUAUGAACCACUGCAUAGAAUUCCCAAUCCCUCUAUUUUUGUCUGCCUGCAUUUUUGAUUUCCUUCACAAGUUAAUUGUACAUUAUUUCAAAGUCCGAUUCUUUUUGUACAGCAAGAUAACUGUAUGGACAUGUAUACAUAUAUUGUAUUUAACAUAUAUUUUAACAUAUAUAACAUGUAUUGGUCAACCUGCCAUCUGGGGG
This 4854-nucleotide long non-coding RNA is filed under the name Sarcophilus harrisii (Tasmanian devil). Its description in RNAcentral is "lncRNA (ENSSHAG00000020895.1)". The record is from RNAcentral. Lineage: Eukaryota; Metazoa; Chordata; Mammalia; Dasyuromorphia; Dasyuridae.